CGCCGAAUCGCCGAUCAACGAACGCCCACCAAUUUCUUCAUCAGCUCCAUAUUAUUUUGGUGAGUUCCCAAAUCCCACUUGGGCCACUUCCCAUAUCAUUUUCUCUCUAUUAACUCCGAACGUAGCCAAUUUUUUUCAUUUUUUGAUCAUUUGCAAUUGCACCUUUCACGGAUGUACAUAAAAUGUACAACUUUGCGUAGUUAACCUAGUUAUUUAAUUCUAAUUUUUCGUAUUUUUCUGUAUUUUAUUGUUUAUUUUUCUCAGUAAAAUUUGGUUUACUAUAGCAAUAUAUUUAGGGUUUGUAAGAUUUUCUAAUAUGUUCAAUUGAUAAUUGAUAAUGAGAUGAAAACUGUUCAUGUCUAUGUAUGAAUCCUUUUAAAAAUUUGAAAAAUGUUUAUAACAAGAAAGUAUUAGGAAAAUGAGAUUAUAUAAUUUUCACGACAAAUGGUAAUUUUUAAUAAACUUGGUGAAUCUUUUUAUGGAACUUAUUCUCAAUAUAUUUGAUUAAAUACGUAUAUAUCUUGUCUAGAGUUCAAUUUUUAUCCGAUGGGUACACAAGUUUGACACCAAAAUUACUUUCUUUCCUUAUUAUACAACUUGACGUAAUCAAGGUAAAACUCUCAUCAUAUUUUGGUGACCUCUCGAUGAGACUCUCAAUAUUUAAAACGUGAAAGUGUCCCAAAAGAGCAUUUAUAUUUCAAUUUAUUUCUCUGCAUAUCUAUUAAAAUUAUACUAGUAUUUUUAUGAAAAAAAGAGUUUAUUCAUGUCAACGUUUAAAUCAUUCCUUUGAAGAAAAGAAAAUUAACUUUUCUUAUGUAGUAGUAGAGUCAAUGUCAAUGACUGUUGCCACCAGAUUCAUUUCGUAGAAGCCAUCAUAUAAAUUAGAUACUAUGAGCCCUAAAGUGGUGACAAUCAACAUGUGCAUCCAAACCUAAAAUUGGAGUUAGAAUUUUGUUAAUAAAUAGGCUGCUGUUUGGGUUGUUGAGCAGAUAUUGAGAAGAAUGCUUAUGAAGCCAAACUGCUUCAAGAAUCUUUGUAGGAGGGAAAAAAAAAAAAGUUUUUGACAUCAUCAAGAAUUUUCAUCCUUAAUGGAACAUAAAUUUGUAAAGGUCUGUAAAGAGAUCUUAAUGAUACAUUGUCUUCCGAAUUCCUCUAUUAGCCUCUAGGGCUUUAAAUUUUUUUCCCUUUCUGUCGAGCUUUCUUGAUUCGUGAAUCUUCAGAUUAUUCCUCCUUGGAAGUUCACUACUGUAACUGAGUCAGUUGACACAUGUUAAUUGAUAUGAUAUGGCUUUUGGUUAUUUGAUUAUUUUGGUCUUCAGUCAAUAAAUUUGUGUUAUUGGAUAAUCAUCAUUUGUGUUAUUGGAUAAUCAUUAGCCCUUCAGUUAGACUAUCUGUGUAAUGUGUUGUUGGAUAAUCACUUUUUCUAUAUUACUAAUUUGAUAAAAUAUUAUGUUGUAAAGGAAUCAUAAUGCAAAAUGAUUCCAUCCAUUCAUCAAAAGACCCUUUUUAUGGGUUCCAAUUGAUUAGAUUACACUUCCUUUUACUCUUUGACAUAUAUUGCAUGAACAUUAUUUAUUAUCUUUAAAUGUAAUAUGCUGCAUGGUAGAGUUUAUAUAUGUAAAUAGAGAGUUAGUCCCCAACUUUUGAAAUAGAACAUUUUGGCCCUCAAUAUUCCAUUAAUAUUACAAAAUUAUUUUCAGUUGAUAGAAACGGUGCUUAACCCAAAGUGGCUCUGCCACCAUUUUGUUUCAGGCUUGUGAGUUGUGACGAGAUCAUACUCAACGGUGUAAUUCCACAAUUAUAGUCAAAAUUUCACUUCUCAGGUAAGCAAUGGCUUGCCCUAACUUGUUAUUAAAGAGAUUGAAAAUGUUUGAAGCCUUGUCGGCUUAUAUAAUUGCAGCCUGGUCGGCUUAUAUGAUUGGUUAUUGUGGGAUGAACAAUUGCACAGGCGCACAUAGUAAUUGUAUUGGAAAUUGUAAUUGUGUGAUGAUUGAAAUAUUUUGUAAUUGUUUUUUAGGAUAAUCAUUGGACAUUAGAUACAGACUCAUACACUAUGCCUCCUAAAUAUGAGUCUGGUGCUCAAAAGAGGAAAAGGAAACGAAAUGAAAUUGCAUUGAUUCAAAGUCAAGUAGGGGAUAUUAACAAGUACUUCAAAAGCAACAAUGUGAAUGCGUUGAAUGAGGAUGAAGUAGAGAUUCAACCUGCCCAUGUUAAUGAAGUAGAUAGUACGGAUGAAGAAGUGAGUCAACCUGAUUAUGUUAAUGAAGUAGAUGAUAAAGAAGAAGAAGUGAUGAAACAGGCCUCUAAUAAUGAAGAAGAUGAUAAGGAAGAAGAG
RNAcentral lists this long non-coding RNA (2335 nucleotides) under Olea europaea subsp. europaea. The record is from RNAcentral. Lineage: Eukaryota; Viridiplantae; Streptophyta; Magnoliopsida; Lamiales; Oleaceae.